UUGGUGGCAUCCUCGAGCAGAAAGAAGCAAGCUGACUAACAUAUCUGCAAACUUCAUAAUUACCCCUCCUACUAGCAGAGACCAGAAAUUGUAUUUGUGGUUACUGAGUCAGUGCCGUGAAAGAAGUACUUUCAGUUUCAUUAGGCUCUGACGCCAUUACAAAGGUGGCUUACCUUCUAAUUAUUUGAUCACUGAGGAAAAUCCAGAAAGCUACACAACACUGGAGGGUGAAAUAAAAGUCCAGCGAUCCAGUGAAAGAAAAGAGAAGUGACAGAAACAACUUUAUCUGGAUUAAAGAGAAAAGAACAGGACACAGGAAAGAAGAUUGUGCCAUCUUACAAGAAAAAAUAAAGAUACAAAAAUUCCUAAUUCGGAUCAAUCUAUGUUCUCACAAAAAUCAGAAGAGGAAAAAGCAUCCAAUAUUCUGUCUGAUGCUAAACAAUCACCGUGAAUAUGAUACUAAUAUAGAUGGUCAACGUCAUCAAUUCCUGGUUUGGGUGACAUUGUGGAAAGCAAAGGUUGAGGAGGCAUCAUAUUGUUUUAAAGUCCAACUUCUUCGAAUAUUUGACACACUCACAUCGAAACAGGUUAGUUACUCAGAGAUGCAGCAGGUGAAGUAAAGGACAUUUCUUAUAUACUGGUGAGUAUCUAGCACCAAACUAAGGAUGUAGCCUUCCAUAUGUAUUUUGCUUGAAAGAAUGAAACUGGGAGUGGAGAAUUAAGGUAAGAGAUGGUGUUUUAUUAAAGGUUUUUUGAGAUAUAUUAAUAAAUUUGCUUUCAUUCCUUCAUGCCCACCCCCCAUAGGUGGAAUAAAGCUUUUUAAUAUUAACUAAAUUGAGAGGUGGAAAAUGGCAUACUGUUUUAAUAAGAAGUCUUUAAAUAUUACCGAAAUCAAAUAUAUUUGCAGCAUUGAAGCUGGGUUAGUGUUAUAAUGAAAAGUAUGUU
Callithrix jacchus (white-tufted-ear marmoset) is the source of this 945-nucleotide non-coding RNA. NCBI's taxonomy places the organism in Eukaryota, Metazoa, Chordata, Mammalia, Primates, Cebidae. The record is from RefSeq and is a predicted model, not a curated record.